CGGCAGUGCACGCCGCCGACUGCCGGCGGUGCGCACAAGUUCAGUGCUCAACUUCCCGCUCUUAACGAGACCCGGGAUCCCUUUGGAGAGGCCCUCGGGAGCUGGCGGCGGGGCUGGGAGUGGCGUGGCCCCAGAUGGCCCAUCGAGUUGAAGGAAAACAAGCUUGGGGCUCUCCCUGAUUCUGCAUCAUGAGAAGGGAGAGCAAGAGAGGAGAAUGAAGACACGAGGACAGCAAGGGAAGAGUUCCAGGAGCCCUCACCGUGUCGCUGAUCGUCACAGAGUUGUCACGCUUAUCUCUGCAACUAGAUGAGACAAACACCACGUGGGGUGGGGGUUGUACCGGAAGUCCUCAGAGAUCCUUGCAUGGGGGCUGGGGGUGGCACAGAAUAGCUGCCCUACCUGGGAACGGAGCUGGGAACUGGGAACUGUGCGCUGUGCCGUGAGCAGGAGAGUCAGAUGGGGAACCUGCCCCCCUCCUGCCCACAGCCAAUGGUCUGUUUCUCUCUCUCAUACACACACUCCCUAGGCUGCCUCCCUUACACCCACACCUGCAUCCAGGCAUGAUAAUCUAUUUCUCUGUCUCACACACAUGGAGGAAGCAUUAUUUUCUCCAUGUGUGUCAGGUUCUUGCAGCCAAAUACUCUACAAAAAUAUUAUAAAAAUAUUUUGCAUCUUAUAAAUAUCAAUAAUUUAGGUCGUUAAGAGGGGUCAUUAAUUUAGUUAAGAGAGGUCCUUGAUGUUACUCACAGAGCUCUGCCCAGGGCAAGAGCCCCUUCUAUCCUCCUGGCAAGUGGGUAAAGAGCCGCUGGACAGACCUUCAGAUAUCUGAGGAUGGUCACUAUGUUUCCCCAAAUCUUGCCUUCUAAUACUCCUUGUUCUAAUAACUCUCUCUCCAAAAACUUCUGAUACAGACUCAACAUCCUCCCACCUCUGAGUUGCCUUUCUCUGGACAAACCCAGGUUUGGUAGCACCCCUGCUUUGUAUAUGAGACAGGGUCUCACUCUGUAGCCUAGGCUAGAGUGCAAUGGCACAAUCAUAGCUCAUUGCAACCUCCCAGACUCAAGCUAUCCUUUUGCCUCAGCCUCCCAAGUAGCUAGGACCACAGGCAUGCACCACCAUGCCCACCUAAUUUUAAAAAUUUCUUAUAGAGAUGGAGUCUCACUGUGUUGCCCAGGCUGGUCUUCAACUCCUGGCCUCAAGUGAUCCUCCUGCCCUGGGCCUCCCAAAGUGCUGGGUUACAGAUGUGAGCCACUGCUUCUAGCCCAAGCAAUGCCCAUUCCAAGUACUAAGUGGAUUACCCACUGUUCUUCUCCCAGACACUGUGCCCUGCUGACAGAGUUUCACUUUAUCGUCCUCGGUAGAGUACUCUGGUGUCACAGCUCACAGCAACCUCUACGCCCUGGGCUCAGGUGAUUCUCUUGCCUCAGUGUCCUGAGUAGCUGGGACUACAGGUGUCCGCCACAAUGCCCGGCUAUUUUUUUGUUGCAGUUUGGCUGGGGCCGGGUUUGAACCUACUACCCUCGGUAUGUGGGGCUGGUGCCCUACUCACUGAGCCACAGGUGCCGCUCUACAAAGAUUUAAUAGAAAAAUAUUGAGAUUUUAAAAACUUAAAAGCAGUUAAUAAAGAAGAGGACAAAUCACAAAUAUCAAGUAAAAAAAUAUUUGUAAUAUUAAAAAUGUAUUUCUCAUUUACAGUUAAGAAGCUGUAUAAUACAGCAUUUUUUUUUAUUAUUUGGAGACACAGUCUCACUUUGUCACCCUUAGUAGAGUGCCGUAGUGUCACAGCUCACAGCAACCACAAAUAUUUGGACUUAAAAGCAAUUCACUUGCCUCAACCUCCCAAGUAGCUGGGACUACAGGUGCCUACCACUGCACCUGGCUAUUUUUAGAGACGAGGUCUGGCUCUGGCUGGUCUUGAAUUUGUGAGCUCAGGCGAUCCACCUGUCUCAGCCUCCCAGAGUGCUGGAAUUAGAGGUGUGAGCCACCAUGCCUGUCCAACACAGCUUUUUGUUUUUUUUGCAGUUUUGGCCGGGACUGGGCUUGAACCCACCACCCCCAGUGUAUGGGGCCAGCACCCUACUCCUUGAGCCACAGGCACCAACGCAAUACAGCUUUUUUGAUAGCAAUUUUGUCUGUGCUCUUCCUGAGGAUGUUUCGUUUACUUGAUUUGCUGGGUUUGUGUGGGACUUGGACAUGGGUUUUUAUUUAUUUAUUUAUUCAGACAGAGUCUCAGAACUUCUGAGCUCAAGCAAUCUACCCUCCUCAGCCUCCCGGAGUCCUAGGAUUACAGGUGUGAGCCACCUCACUUAGCCAGACAUGGGCAUUUUUAAAGGCUCCCUUUGUGACACUGACAGACUCCUGAUGGAACUCGCCCCCCGCCCCACAAGCGCACGUGUGAAUGCUUUGCCUGUUGCACAAGCAGCGCCAGUUGUGCAGGGGAUAAAAGGCUUGCUUGGGAAGAGCAGCACAGUUCACACCCUCGAACACAUGCCAUAAAUCCUCAAAUAGCAUUUUUCACAUCACAUACACUUUCACAAGUCAGAUCUGUUUCAUUAUGUGACAUUUCUAUUUGUGACACUAUUGUUGAAUAUUGUUGCUAAAGCCACUUGCCAUUGUGAUUAAUUCUGCUUUGGGUUGGCGACUGACUUAAACCUGUGAGUGGAAGGGGAAGGGAAGACUCCCCAGAGAGCCGAGCAGGAAGAGAAUGGUACACAUCAAUGUGGGAGGCCCCGGAGGCCACCCGCUUCAUUUUACAGCUAAGCAAAUCAAGGACUGCAGAAAUAAAAGAAUCUCCCCAGCACCACCAUCAUGAAAGAAUUUAAUUAUGUAAAUUAAUCAUUUAAAUGACUAUAAAAAGAAUAUAUACUCUUUACAGAAAACAAUUUAAAAACAGGGAUGGCGCCUGUGGCUCAGUGAGUAGGGCACUGGCCCCAUAUACUGAAGGUGGGGGGUUUGAACCCAGCCCCAGCCAAAACUGCAGCAAAAAAAUAGCUGGGCAUUGUGGCAGGCGCUUGGAGUCCCAGCUACUCAGGAGGCUGAGGCAGGAGAAUCACCUAAGCCCAAGAGCUGGAGGUUGCUGUGAGCUGUGAUGCCACAGCACUCUACCGAGGGCAACAAAAUGAGACUGUCUCUAAAAAAAAUUUUUUUUAAAGAGGAAAGUACAUAUAUGUAUUUUAACAGAGACCUGUAAGCCACUGCACCAUCACACCAUGGCCUUGUAACCUGGAGCACAGAAGCUGGCCAUACACAGGUAGACCGCCACUCCUGCUUCCUUUAUCAUCUAAUCAAUUGUCACUCAAUACUGGCUGAGUCCCUUCUUCAUGCACCUCCCUUUGGCUCAGGCCUAAUUUUUUCUUGGCCCAACCUCCUAACUUAUUGCACUAUAGCUUCUGAGAUAUUACGAAUUCCCUUACAUGAGCAACCAUUCCUCUGAACACCAUUUAUUUACUCUAUUUGCUGGAACUCUGUCCCACUGACUCUGUCUCACAUACUAUCUUGAAGGGAAGGAAAGCCUCGCUCUCAUCCAUGCCACAGUUCCCCACCACCCUUGCCCACCAUUCCCCCUGUGGGGGUCCAUGCCAUCCAGUUACGUCAGCUUUUCACAUCUCCACCAUGCUCACUGACGGAAGCUUGUCUAUAUAGCUCCAAGUGAAAUCCCCUUCCCCCCAUGACCCUGGCAGUUCUCCCAACACCUGCCCCAACGACUUCGUCACAUUUUGGUCUCAACUUUCUCAAAAUUGCUUCAUCCCUAAUUCUCAAACCCUGAAAUUCUUCUGAUGACCAUCCCUCACCUGCCCCUGUCCCCGUGCCUGUCCUCUGGUUUGCCUUCACAUGUCUUCUGAGUCCUGGCGACCCCAGGCGGUUAGCCCAUGCUCAGGUUUUCUGUCCAGGUCUACCAUCUGGACUUUACAGUUAACUGUUCUGACACCUUCACAAGCACCCUCAAGUCUUGUCCCCUUUAAUUCUUUUUUACUCUUGCCUGAGGCCAGGGUUUGGUUUGCUGGAGAAAAAUGCCAAAAUGCCAUUUGCUCAUUUGUUCAACUACUCAGCUAUAUUAGGCACUAUACUAGGUUGAGGGGGGUAUAAAAACACACCCUUCUUGCAGUGAACAGAAACGCAAAAUGCAAAAAUACAACGCAGGGUAAUGUAGGUGCAGCAGCAGAGACCCCACGUGGUGGUUGUACAGGGGGGUGGCAGAGACUGCUCCUUUGAGUUUUAGCAGGGCACCGGGUCUAUUAAAGCCUGUAUGUCCCAGCCCCCCUGUAGCUAGCAAGCAAAUGCAACAAAAGCGCUAUGGGCAAUGUUUUUU
Molecule: long non-coding RNA, 4309 nt
Organism: Nycticebus coucang (slow loris)
Lineage: Eukaryota; Metazoa; Chordata; Mammalia; Primates; Lorisidae
Exons: 4
Source: RefSeq, a predicted model, not a curated record